Molecule: long non-coding RNA, 443 nt
Organism: Canis lupus familiaris (dog)
Lineage: Eukaryota; Metazoa; Chordata; Mammalia; Carnivora; Canidae
Exons: 2
Source: RefSeq, a predicted model, not a curated record
AGUUCUUCAUGAUCUGGAAGCUAUGGACCACUGAAACUCAUCUCUUGUCAUAUUUUCCACUUGGAACUUAACCCUAAUUAUAUUAAAGUAAUUUCAUCUCUCCAAAAUGUCAUACUUCUUCAAAUCACCUUCCUGAGCACAUGCUUUUUCCCAAGAGAUUAUCUGCCAGUGAAGAAGCACCAUGAAAUUUGAUGUCAUUAGUUAAGAAGACAUAAAAGAUAGUAACCAGUUGAAUAGAUCAAUUGGAACAUAUAAUUUAAGUGUACAACACAAUUCAACUCAGGAGAGUGCUUUUUUCUUUGUAUCUAAAGGAUAGUAUGUUUUUAUCAUCAAACCUGGCGUUGACUAUCCUGAAUUUAUGUUUGUAAAAAAUGUUGCUAUGUGUACCUCAUGCUAUUGAUAAUUUUUUCGACGAUUUGUUUAAAGUUAUUUAUUGUGUUCAA